Vicugna pacos (alpaca) is the source of this 661-nucleotide non-coding RNA. Lineage: Eukaryota; Metazoa; Chordata; Mammalia; Artiodactyla; Camelidae. The record is from RefSeq and is a predicted model, not a curated record.
CCUGGGAAGAGAAGAGGAAACAGAGGCCAAAGAUCCAUUACCGGAAGAAGAAGCAGCUCAUGAGGCUACGGAAGCAGGCUGAAAAGAAUAUAGAGAAGAAAAUCGACAAAUUCACAGAGGUCCUCAAGACCCAUGGACUCCUAGUCUGAGCCCAAUAAAAUUGACUGUUUAUUCUUCACGCUUGGCCUGGCCUGCCCUUCCUCCAUCGCCGCCAUAGGAUGUGGGGACCCCCAGGGCCUGCCAUCCAGGUGCCACAGGCAGCCCAGGGCUUAGAAGGCUGGGGACACCAAGGGGACGGACUUUAGUGCUGUUUAGGAAAGGCCGUUUUAAACUUUACAGAGCUCUAAGGGCUAUAGGCAUAGUUUGUCUGUGACCAACUCAUUUGUGACAGUUGGAACAACCAGUGCAGCAUCAGGACUGGUAACGGGGAGCUGGAAGACUAACUGGAGGGGACCCCUACGUCUGCUUAAACCUCCCACAGGGCUGGUUACUAUACUCUGCAGCUGUUAGGACGUGAGCGAAUGCUUGGGCAUCAGGAGUCCGGUGUCUACAGAGGUGUUUGUGGAAGGGAAGUGCAGCCAGGGGGUCACAGGCAUCGCCCUUGUGUCUUCCCUGUGUUUUGUGAUUCAACGCUAAUAAAUUAUUUUUAAAGGAAAAAAAA